GACGAACAAAAGACACACAGACGGACCGGGGAAGGGGAGAAUGAGACACACAUAGGAGCUGUGGGGAGAGACACACACAGAGGUGCUGCUGCCUGGGAAAGAGACUAACAUAAGGGCUGGGGAAGGGGAGAGAGAAAUAAAGGGACUGGAGCUAAGAGACACAUGAAAAGGGCUUGGGGGAGAAAGACACAAACAAAUUGCAUCUUCCCUUGUGUCUCC
Non-coding RNA from Pelobates cultripes (western spadefoot toad), 219 nucleotides. The record is from the annotation of a GenBank genome assembly. NCBI's taxonomy places the organism in Eukaryota, Metazoa, Chordata, Amphibia, Anura, Pelobatidae.